AGCGCAACCCUCGCCCUUUGUUGCCAUCGGGUAAAGCCGGGCACUCUAAGGGGACUGCCAGCGACAAGUUGGAGGAAGGAGAGGAUGACGUCAAGUCAUCAUGGCCUUUAUGCCUAGGGCCACACACGUGCAACAAUGGCCGGUACAGACGGAGGCAAUGCCGAGAGGCGGAGCAAACCCGAGAAAACCGGUCCCAGUUCGGAUUGAGGUCUGCAACUCGACCUCAUGAAGUCGGAAUCGCUAGUAAUCGCAUAUCAGAACGAUGCGGUGAAUACGUUCCCGGGCCUUGUACACACCGCCCGUCACACCACGAAAGUUUGUUGUACCCGAAGUCGGUGCCUUAACCUCGCAAGAGGAGAGAGCCGCCCAAGGUAUGGCCGAUGAUUGGGGUGAAGUCGUAACAAGGUAGCCGUAGGGGAACCUGCGGCUGGAUCACCUCCUUUCUAGGAGAGAAGGGUCCUGGAUGAAGCGCUCCUAUUUAG
This 482-nucleotide ribosomal RNA is filed under the name uncultured bacterium. RNAcentral describes it as "bacterial SSU rRNA". It matches the Rfam family "Bacterial small subunit ribosomal RNA", at positions 1095 to 1533 of the family's 1533-position model. The record is from RNAcentral.